Molecule: ribosomal RNA, 1487 nt
Filed under: Russula sp. TU112054
Lineage: Eukaryota; Fungi; Basidiomycota; Agaricomycetes; Russulales; Russulaceae
Description: eukaryotic LSU rRNA
Rfam family: Eukaryotic large subunit ribosomal RNA (bases 585-1487)
Source: RNAcentral
GGAAGGAUCAUUAUCGUAUAACAGAGGCACCUAGGGCUGUCGCUGGCCUUUACAGGUUGUGCACGCCCAAAGUGUUCUCUUACAUCCAUCUUACCCCUUUGUGCAUCACCGACGUCAGUUCCCCAUAGCGGGGUUCUUGCGUCUUUUAUAACAAACACGCAUGUAUAGAAUGUUUUUGCAAUUAUAUGCAAUCAAUACAACUUUCAACAACGGAUCUCUUGGCUCUCGCAUCGAUGAAGAACGCAGCGAAAUGCGAUACGUAAUGUGAAUUGCAGAAUUCAGUGAAUCAUCGAAUCUUUGAACGCAUCUUGCACCCCUUGGUAUUCCGAGGGGUACACCCGUUUGAGUGUCGUGAAUACUCUCAACCUUUUUGGUUUGUUUACCUAAAAGGCUUGGACUUUGGAGGUUUUCUUUGCUGGCUUUCAUUCAAAGCCAGCUCCUCCUAAAUGAAUUAGUGGGAUCUGCUUUGCUAAUCCUUGACGUGAUAAGUAUGCUUUCUACGUUUUGGGUUUUUGCAAUGUCACCUGCUUCAAACCGUCUUUAAAUUGAAGACAAAGUUCGAGUUAGCUCGACCUCUUUGACCUUGACCUCAAAUCGGGUGAGACUACCCGCUGAACUUAAGCAUAUCAAUAAGCGGAGGAAAAGAAACUAACAAGGAUUCCCCUAGUAACUGCGAGUGAAGCGGGAAAAGCUCAAAUUUAAAAUCUGGUGGUCUUUGAUCAUCCGAGUUGUAAUUUAGAGAAGCGUCUUCCGCGCUGGACCGUGCACAAGUCUCCUGGAAUGGAGCGUCAUAGAGGGUGAGAAUCCCGUCUUUGGCAUGGAUCCCAGUGCUUUGUGAUGCGCUCUCGACGAGUCGAGUUGUUUGGGAAUGCAGCUCAAAAUGGGUGGUGAACUCCAUCUAAAGCUAAAUAUUGGCGAGAGACCGAUAGCGAACAAGUACCGUGAGGGAAAGAUGAAAAGCACUUUGGAAAGAGAGUGAAACAGUACGUGAAAUUGUUGAAAGGGAAACGCUUGAAGUCAGUCGCGUUGACCGGGACUCAGCCUUGCCUUGGCUUGGUGUAUUUCUCGGCUGACGGGUCAGCAUCAAUUUUGAUCCUCGGAUAAUGGCAAGGGAAAGGUGGCACCUUUUAGGUGUGUUAUAGUCCUCUGUCGCAUGCGAGGGUUGGGAUUGAGGAACUCAGCACGCACCUCUGGGUGUCGGGGCUUCGGCCUACGUUACGUGCUUAGGAUGCUGGCGUAAUGGCUUUAAACGACCCGUCUUGAAACACGGACCAAGGAGUCUAACAUACCCGCGAGUGUUUGGGUGGAAAACCCGUGCGCGUAAUGAAAGUAAAAGUUGGGACCUCUGUCGUGGAGGGCACCGACGCCCGGACCAGACCUUCUGUGACGGCUCUGCGGUAGAGCGUGUAUGUUGGGACCCGAAAGAUGGUGAACUAUGCCUGAAUAGGGUGAAGCCAGAGGAAACUCUGGUGGAGGCUCGUAGCGAU